AACGAACGCUGGCGGCAGGCUUAACACAUGCAAGUCGAAGGUGAAGCGGGGCUUCGGCCCCGUGGAAACUGGCGCACGGGUGAGUAACGCGUGGGUAUCUACCUCGGGGUGGGGAAUAACCGCUGGAAACGGCGGCUAAUACCGCAUACGCCUUCAGAGGGAAAGCUCCGGCGCCCUGAGAGGAGCCCGCGUUGGAUUAGCUUGUUGGUGGGGUAAUUGCCUACCAAGGCUACGAUCUAUAGCUGGUCUGAGAGGAUGAUCAGCCACACUGGGACUGAGACACGGCCCAGACUCCUACGGGAGGCAGCAGUGGGGAAUAUUGGACAAUGGGCGCAAGCCUGAUCCAGCCAUGCCGCGUGAGUGAAGAAGGCCUUAGGGUUGUAAAGCUCUUUCACCUGCGAAGAUGAUGACGGUAGCAGGAGAAGAAGCCCCGGCUAACUCCGUG
This 445-nucleotide ribosomal RNA is filed under the name uncultured bacterium. RNAcentral describes it as "bacterial SSU rRNA". It matches the Rfam family "Bacterial small subunit ribosomal RNA", at positions 29 to 507 of the family's 1533-position model. The record is from RNAcentral.